CAGCAGUCGCGAAAACUUCACACUGGAGGCAACUCCGAUGAGGGAAUUCCUAGUGCCAGUGCAUUUAGUGCUGGCUUUUCUUAAGCGUAGAUAACUUAAGGAAUAAGGGCUGGGUAAGACGGGUGCCAGCCGCCGCAGUAAUACCCGCAGCCCAAGUGGUGGUCGAUUUUAUUGAGUCUAAAACGUUCGUAGCCGGUUUGGUAAAUCCUUGGGUAAAUCGAGAGGCUUAACUUUUCGAAUUCCGAGGAGACUGCCAAACUUGGGACCGGGAGAGGCGAGAGGUACUUCUGGGGUAGGGGUAAAAUCCUGUAAUCCUAGAAGGACCACCGGUGGCGAAGGCGUCUCGCUAGAACGGAUCCGACGGUGAGGGACGAAGCCCUGGGUCGCAAACGGGAUUAGAUACCCCGGUAGUCCAGGGUGUAAACGCUGCAGACUUGGUGUUGGGGGCCCUACGUGGGCGUUCAGUGCCGGAGAGAAGUUGUU
This 483-nucleotide ribosomal RNA is filed under the name uncultured Methanomassiliicoccales archaeon. Its description in RNAcentral is "bacterial SSU rRNA". It matches the Rfam family "Archaeal small subunit ribosomal RNA", at positions 333 to 816 of the family's 1478-position model. The record is from RNAcentral. Lineage: Archaea; Methanobacteriati; Thermoplasmatota; Thermoplasmata; Methanomassiliicoccales.